Molecule: ribosomal RNA, 465 nt
Filed under: uncultured bacterium
Lineage: Bacteria
Description: bacterial SSU rRNA
Rfam family: Bacterial small subunit ribosomal RNA
Source: RNAcentral
CCUACGGGUCGCACCAGUGGGGAGUAAUGCACAAUGGGCGCAAGCCUGAUGCAGCCAUGCCGCGUGUAUGAAGAAGGCCUUCGGGUUGUAAAGUACUUUCAGCGGGGAGGAAGGUGUUGUGGUUAAUAACCGCAGCAAUUGACGUCACCCGCAGAAGAAGCACCGGCUAACUCCGUGCCAGCAGCCGCGGUAAUACGGAGGGUGCAAGCGUUAAUCGGAAUUACUGGGCGUAAAGCGCACGCAGGCGGUCUGUCAAGUCGGAUGUGAAAUCCCCGGGCUCAACCUGGGAACUGCAUUCGAAACCGGCAGGCUAGAGUCUUGUAGAGGGGGGUAGAAUUCCAGGUGUAGCGGUGAAAUGCGUAGAGAUCUGGAGGAAUACCGGUGGCGAAGGCGGCCCCCUGGACAAAGACUGACGCUCAGGUGCGAAAGCGUGGGGAGCAAACAGGAUUAGAUACCCUCGUAGUC